UUAAGCGACUAAGCGUACACGGUGGAUGCCCUGGCAGUCAGAGGCGAUGAAGGACGUGCUAAUCUGCGAAAAGCGUCGGUAAGGUGAUAUGAACCGUUAUAGCCGGCGAUGUCCGAAUGGGGAAACCCAGUGCAAUUCGUUGCACUAUCGUUUGAUGAAUACAUAGUCAAACGAGGCGAACCGGGGGAACUGAAACAUCUAAGUACCCCGAGGAAAAGAAAUCAACCGAGAUUCCCCCAGUAGCGGCGAGCGAACGGGGAGCAGCCCGGAGUCUGAAUCAGCUUGUGUGUUAGUGGAAGCGUCUGGAAAGUCGCAGGGUACAGGGUGAUACUCCCGUACACUAAAACGCACAGGCUGUGAACUCGAAGAGUAGGGCGGGACACGUGGUAUCCUGUCUGAAUAUGGGGGGACCAUCCUCCAAGGCUAAAUACUCCUGACUGACCGAUAGUGAACCAGUACCGUGAGGGAAAGGCGAAAAGAACCCCGGCGAGGGGAGUGAAAAAGAACCUGAAACCGUGUACGUACAAGCAGUAGGAGCCUCUUUAUGGGGUGACUGCGUACCUUUUGUAUAAUGGGUCAGCGACUUAUAUUCUGUAGCAAGGUUAACCGUAUAGGGGAGCCGCAGGGAAACCGAGUCUUAACUGGGCGUUAAGUUGCAGGGUAUAGACCCGAAACCCGGUGAUCUAGCCAUGGGCAGGUUGAAGGUUGGGUAACACUAACUGGAGGACCGAACCGACUAAUGUUGAAAAAUUAGCGGAUGACUUGUGGCUGGGGGUGAAAGGCCAAUCAAACCGGGAGAUAGCUGGUUCUCCCCGAAAGCUAUUUAGGUAGCGCCUCGUGAACUCAUCUUCGGGGGUAGAGCACUGUUUCGGCUAGGGGGUCAUCCCGACUUACCAACCCGAUGCAAACUACGAAUACCGAAGAAUGUUAUCACGGGAGACACACGGCGGGUGCUAACGUCCGUCGUGAAGAGGGAAACAACCCAGACCGCCAGCUAAGGUCCCAAAGUCAUGGUUAAGUGGGAAACGAUGUGGGAAGGCCCAGACAGCCAGGAUGUUGGCUUAGAAGCAGCCAUCAUUUAAAGAAAGCGUAAUAGCUCACUGGUCGAGUCGGCCUGCGCGGAAGAUGUAACGGGGCUAAACCAUGCACCGAAGCUGCGGCAGCGACACUAUGUGUUGUUGGGUAGGGGAGCGUUCUGUAAGCCGUUGAAGGUGGCCUGUGAGGGUUGCUGGAGGUAUCAGAAGUGCGAAUGCUGACAUAAGUAACGAUAAUGCGGGUGAAAAACCCGCACGCCGGAAGACCAAGGGUUCCUGUCCAACGUUAAUCGGGGCAGGGUGAGUCGACCCCUAAGGCGAGGCCGAAAGGCGUAGUCGAUGGGAAACAGGUUAAUAUUCCUGUACUCGGUGUUACUGCGAAGGGGGGACGGAGAAGGCUAUGUUGGCCGGGCGACGGUUGUCCCGGUUUAAGCAUGUAGGCGGAUGUUCCAGGUAAAUCCGGAACGUUAUCAACGCUGAGGUGUGAUGACGAGGCACUACGGUGCUGAAGUGACAAAUGCCCUGCUUCCAGGAAAAGCCUCUAAGCAUCAGGUAACAUCAAAUCGUACCCCAAACCGACACAGGUGGUCAGGUAGAGAAUACCAAGGCGCUUGAGAGAACUCGGGUGAAGGAACUAGGCAAAAUGGUGCCGUAACUUCGGGAGAAGGCACGCUGAUAGGUAGGUGAAGUGGUUUACCCAUGGAGCUGAAAUCAGUCGAAGAUACCAGCUGGCUGCAACUGUUUAUUAAAAACACAGCACUGUGCAAACACGAAAGUGGACGUAUACGGUGUGACGCCUGCCCGGUGCCGGAAGGUUAAUUGAUGGGGUUAUCCGUAAGGAGAAGCUCUUGAUCGAAGCCCCGGUAAACGGCGGCCGUAACUAUAACGGUCCUAAGGUAGCGAAAUUCCUUGUCGGGUAAGUUCCGACCUGCACGAAUGGCGUAAUGAUGGCCAGGCUGUCUCCACCCGAGACUCAGUGAAAUUGAACUCGCUGUGAAGAUGCAGUGUACCCGCGGCAAGACGGAAAGACCCCGUGAACCUUUACUAUAGCUUGACACUGAACACUGGUCCUUGAUGUGUAGGAUAGGUGGGAGGCUUUGAAGUGUGGACGCCAGUCUGCAUGGAGCCAUCCUUGAAAUACCACCCUUUAAUGGCUGGUGUUCUAACGUGGGCCCGUUAUCCGGGUUGCGGACAGUGUCUGGUGGGUAGUUUGACUGGGGCGGUCUCCUCCUAAAGAGUAACGGAGGAGCACGAAGGUCAGCUAAUCCUGGUCGGACAUCAGGAGGUUAGUGCAAUGGCAUAAGCUGGCUUGACUGCGAGCGUGACGGCGCGAGCAGGUGCGAAAGCAGGUCAUAGUGAUCCGGUGGUUCUGAAUGGAAGGGCCAUCGCUCAACGGAUAAAAGGUACUCCGGGGAUAACAGGCUGAUACCGCCCAAGAGUUCAUAUCGACGGCGGUGUUUGGCACCUCGAUGUCGGCUCAUCACAUCCUGGGGCUGAAGUAGGUCCCAAGGGUAUGGCUGUUCGCCAUUUAAAGUGGUACGCGAGCUGGGUUUAGAACGUCGUGAGACAGUUCGGUCCCUAUCUGCCGUGGGCGCUGGAGAAUUGAGGGGGGCUGCUCCUAGUACGAGAGGACCGGAGUGGACGCAUCACUGGUGUUCGGGUUGUCAUGCCAAUGGCAUUGCCCGGUAGCUAAAUGCGGAAGAGAUAAGUGCUGAAAGCAUCUAAGCACGAAACUUGCCCCGAGAUGAGUUCUCCCUGACUCCUUGAGAGUCCUGAAGGAACGUUGAAGACGACGACGUUGAUAGGCCGGGUGUGUAAGCGCAGCGAUGCGUUGAGCUAACCGGUACUAAUGAACCGUGAGGCUUAACCUU
Molecule: ribosomal RNA, 2905 nt
Filed under: Klebsiella oxytoca
Lineage: Bacteria; Pseudomonadati; Pseudomonadota; Gammaproteobacteria; Enterobacterales; Enterobacteriaceae
Also listed under: 1 other name
Description: bacterial LSU rRNA
Rfam family: Bacterial large subunit ribosomal RNA
Source: RNAcentral